Molecule: ribosomal RNA, 876 nt
Filed under: uncultured Nitrososphaerota archaeon
Lineage: Archaea; Thermoproteati; Nitrososphaerota
Description: bacterial SSU rRNA
Rfam family: Archaeal small subunit ribosomal RNA
Source: RNAcentral
UUCCGGUUGAUCCUGCCGGACCUGACUGCUAUCGGAUUGAUACUAAGCCAUGCGAGUCAUUGUAGCAAUACAAGGCAUACGGCUCAGUAACGCGUAGUCAACCUACCCUAUGGACGGAAAUAACCUCGGGAGACUGAGAAUAAUAUCCGAUAGAACAUUAUGCCUGGAAUGGUUUAUGUUCCAAAUGAUUUAUCGCCGUAGGAUGGGACUGCGGCCUAUCAGUUUGUUGGUGAGGUAAUGGCCCACCAAGACUAUUACAGGUACGGGCUCUGAGAGGAGUAGCCCGGAGAUGGGUACUGAGACACGGACCCAGGCCCUAUGGGGCGCAGCAGGCGAGAAAACUUUGCAAUGUGCGAAAGCACGACAAGGUUAAUCCGAGUGAUUUCUGCUAAAGAAAUCUUUUGUUAGUCCUAGAAACACUAACGAAUAAGGGGUGGGCAAGUUCUGGUGUCAGCCGCCGCGGUAAAACCAGCACCUCAAGUGGUCAGGAUGAUUAUUGGGCCUAAAGCAUCCGUAGCCGGCUCUGUAAGUCCUCGGUUAAAUCUGUACGCUUAACGUACAGGCUGCCGGGAAUACUGCAUAGCUAGGGAGUGGGAGAGGUAGACGGUACUCGGUAGGAAGGGGUAAAAUCCUUUGAUCUAUUGAUGACCACCUGUGGCGAAGGCGGUCUACCAGAACACGUCCGACGGUGAGGGAUGAAAGCUGGGGGAGCAAACCGGAUUAGAUACCCGGGUAGUCCCAGCUGUAAACUAUGCAAACUCAGUGAUGCAUUGGCUUGUGGCCAAUGCAGUGCUGCAGGGAAGCCGUUAAGUUUGCCGCCUGGGAAGUACGUACGCAAGUAUGAAACUUAAAGGAAUUGGCGGGGGAGCACCACAA